CAAAAAAUGGAAUGUGGUUCUUCUUCUGAAUUACAUCAGCAAUCUUUUUCCAUUGCUCAGGUGUGGGAUCAAUACCAGUUGGGUUGUGUGCACAGCCAUGGAGCAAGAUAAAUGAUCCUUCUGGGGCAGCCUUUAUAUCUUCUAUCAUCCCAGCAAAGUCAAGGCCAACUGUUUUGGGAUCAUAAUAUCGAUAUUCAGACCAAGGCACUCUGGCAUCAUUAAAAAUGUUUUUAUGAUUUCCCCAUGUUGGAGAAGAUAUCAAAAUCUUAGAGUAAGGGAAGUAACGCUCUAUCAGUGCUGCAGCAAUACGCAAUGACCCAGUUCCUGAUAGACCUUGAAUCGUAGCUACCCUUUGUUGCUGAAGCACUGGGUUAUCUUUUCCAAACAAUAACUCUGCUGUGACUUUGUUGAAUGCAGCCAAACCUUCUAUUGGAAGAUACUCUUUGUUUUCUCCUCUCUCCAGUAUAAGGUUCUCUGCUUUCUUAACUACAUUGAGGACAUAUGGUUGAAGAUCCUCUGUGCGGUAAGCUCCAACUCCAAGGUUAAGCUUCAGUUCAUUUGUAUCAGCCUUGAAUGCUUCAGAAACUCCUAGAAUGGGGUCAGCGGGAGCCAUUGUUAUUCCCUCAAAUCGAGAGACAUUAACAGCAACAGCCAUAGUAGUCCGACCAUUUGACUUUGCCUUCAUGAAGUCCUUCCCAGGAAAGGCCCUUUGGCUAGAAGUCCCUAUCUUCAGCUUUGGCUUGAGAUUAUCUUGCAAGGAAAUUGAAGCUGAAGGAGUGACAGAAGCUAGAGAAAACAUUGUGGAAGCCAUCUGGGAUUUAAGCGCGCAAAGGAAGAAGAGGGAUACCAGGGUUUCGGGGCUUCGGAUUUACAGGAAAGCUAACACACUGGAAGAACUGAUCGAUG
Molecule: unclassified non-coding RNA, 906 nt
Filed under: Hevea brasiliensis (rubber tree)
Lineage: Eukaryota; Viridiplantae; Streptophyta; Magnoliopsida; Malpighiales; Euphorbiaceae
Source: RNAcentral